AAUAGAUACCCGGGUAGCCCACCCCGUAAACGUUGGGAACUAGUUGUGGGGUCCAUUCCACGGAUUCCGUGACGCAGCUAACGCAUUAAGUUCCCCGCCUGGGGAGUACGGCCGCAAGGCUAAAACUCAAAGGAAUUGACGGGGACCCGCACAAGCGGCGGAGCAUGCGGAUUAAUUCGAUGCAACGCGAAGAACCUUACCAAGGCUUGACAUAUAGAGGAAACGGCUGGAAACAGUCGCCCCGCAAGGUCUCCAUACAGGUGGUGCAUGGUUGUCGUCAGCUCGUGUCGUGAGAUGUUGGGUUAAGUCCCGCAACGAGCGCAACCCUCGUUCUAAUGUUGCCAGCACGUAAUGGUGGGAACUCAUGGGGUACUGCCGGGGUCAACUCGGAGGAAGGUGGGAUGACGUCAAAUCAUCAUGCCCCUUAUGUCUUGGGCUUCACGCAUGCUACAAUGGCCGGUACAAAGGGCUGCAAUACCGUAAGGUGGAGCGAAUCCCAAAAAAGCCGGUCCCAGUUCGGAUUGAGGUCUGCAACUCGACCUCAUG
Molecule: ribosomal RNA, 546 nt
Filed under: uncultured bacterium
Lineage: Bacteria
Description: bacterial SSU rRNA
Rfam family: Bacterial small subunit ribosomal RNA
Source: RNAcentral